RNAcentral lists this small RNA (570 nucleotides) under Pongo abelii (Sumatran orangutan). Its description in RNAcentral is "processed transcript". The record is from RNAcentral. Lineage: Eukaryota; Metazoa; Chordata; Mammalia; Primates; Hominidae.
AAUUCCGCUGGCGUGGGCCCGGCGCGCUGCUCUGCGACUACAUCCUGCCCAGGCCGCCGGCCUAGGCUGCGCUGCGCAUGCGCGAGUCCUCUGUCACAUUAACUUUGCUCUAGAAGACAACUUUACAAGGAUCUAAAAAGAACAGGAUUAAAGAUGACUGAAUACUGGGUUCCAGAAAUUUAAAACAAUCAGCUUAGCAAAUCAUAUAUUCUUCUGUGGAGCUGAGAAUUGAUGUCUGCUCUUCCCAGUGAUUUGGAAAUUUCCAAUCCCAGAGAAAAGUUGACAAAGGGACUGCCCAGGACUGAGUCCAUAUGGAAGAAGAACUUCCUCUUUUCUCUGGAGACAGUGGCAAGCCAGUACAGGCUACUCUGUCAUCUUUGAAGAUGUUAGAUGUGGGAAAGUGGCCAAUUUUUUCCCUUUGUUCUGAGGAAGAACUACAGUUAAUUCGUCAGGCUUGUGUCUUUGGCAGUGCUGGCAAUGAAGUUUUAUACACUACAGUAAAUGAUGAGAUUUUUGUGCUUGGCACAAACUGCUGUGGCUGUUUGGGGUUAGGUGACGUCCAGAGCACCA